Molecule: small RNA, 82 nt
Filed under: Arsenophonus endosymbiont of Aleurodicus floccissimus
Lineage: Bacteria; Pseudomonadati; Pseudomonadota; Gammaproteobacteria; Enterobacterales; Morganellaceae
Description: CyaR/Rye RNA
Rfam family: CyaR/Rye RNA
About the family: This sRNA was originally identified in a large scale screen of E. coli.
Source: Rfam by way of RNAcentral
CAGUGAAAAAUGUAGAAUUAAAAAUUAUAAGACUAGAAACCACCUUCUUUGCUAACUCAAUCUCCCUUGAGCUAGCUUUUUC